This 450-nucleotide ribosomal RNA is filed under the name uncultured bacterium. RNAcentral describes it as "partial 16S ribosomal RNA". It matches the Rfam family "Bacterial small subunit ribosomal RNA", at positions 28 to 506 of the family's 1533-position model. The record is from RNAcentral.
GAUGAACGCUGGCGGCGUGCCUAACACAUGCAAGUCGAGCGGCAGCGAGGGGUGCUUGCACCCUGUCGGCGAGCGGCGGACGGCUGAGUAACGCGUGGGAACGUGCCCCAAAGUGAGGAAUAACUGCCCGAAAGGGUAGCUAAUACCGCAUAUUAUCUUCGGAUCAAAGGAUUUAUCCGCUUUGGGAGCGGCUCGCGUCGGAUUAGGUAGUUGGUGAGGUAAUGGCUCACCAAGCCGACGAUCCGUAGCUGGUCUGAGAGGAUGACCAGCCAGACUGGAACUGAGACACGGUCCAGACUCCUACGGGAGGCAGCAGUGAGGAAUCUUCCACAAUGGGUGAAAGCCUGAUGGAGCAACGCCGCGUGCAGGACGAAGGCCUUCGGGUUGUAAACUGCUUUUAUAAGUGAGGAAUAUGACGGUAACUUAUGAAUAAGGAUCGGCUAACUACGU